This 566-nucleotide ribosomal RNA is filed under the name uncultured bacterium. RNAcentral describes it as "partial 16S ribosomal RNA". It matches the Rfam family "Bacterial small subunit ribosomal RNA", at positions 1 to 546 of the family's 1533-position model. The record is from RNAcentral.
GCCGCGAAUUCGCCCUUAGGGUUUGAUCAUGGCUCAGAUUGAACGCUGGCGGCAGGCCUAACACAUGCAAGUCGAGCGGUAGCACAGGAGAGCUUGCUCUCCGGGUGACGAGCGGCGGACGGGUGAGUAAUGUCUGGGAAACUGCCCGAUGGAGGGGGAUAACCACUGGAAACGGUGGCUAAUACCGCAUAACGUCUACGGACCAAAGAGGGGGACCUUCGGGCCUCUUGCCAUCGGAUGUGCCCAGAUGGAAUUAGCUAGUAGGUGGGGUAACGGCUCACCUAGGCGACGAUCCCUAGCUGGUCUGAGAGGAUGACCAGCCACACUGGAACUGAGACACGGUCCAGACUCCUACGGGAGGCAGCAGUGGGGAAUAUUGCACAAUGGGCGCAAGCCUGAUGCAGCCAUGCCGCGUGUGUGAAGAAGGCCUUCGGGUUGUAAAGCACUUUCAGCGAGGAGGAAGGCCAAUAGCUUAAUACGCUGUUGGAUUGACGUUACUCGCAGAAGAAGCACCGGCUAACUCCGUGCCAGCAGCCGCGGUAAUACGGAGGGUGCAAGCGUUAAUC